AGCAGCCGCGGUAAUUCCAGCUCCAAUAGCGUAUAUUAAAGUUGUUGCAGUUAAAAAGCUCGUAGUUGAAUUUCGGGACCAAUCUGCCGGUCGUGCCUCCGGUAUGCACUGGUUUUAUUGGUUUCUCCCUUCUGACGAAUCAUGAUGUCAUUAAUUUGGUGUCAUGGGGAAUCAGGACUGUUACUUUGAAAAAAUUUAGAGUGUUUAAAGCAGGCUCACGCUUGAAUACAUUAGCAUGGAAUAAUGAAAUAGGACGUUUGACCCUAUUUUGUUGGUUUCUAGGAUCGACGUAAUGAUUAAUAGGGAUAGUUGGGGGGCAUUAGUAUUCAAUUGUCAGAGGUGAAAUUCUUGGAUUUAUUGAAGACUAACUACUGCGAAAGCAUUUGCCAAGGAUGUUUUCAUUAAUCAAGAACGAAAGUUAGGGGGUCGAAGACGAUCAGAUACCGUCGUAGUCUUAACCAUAAACUAUGCCGACUAGGGAUCGGAUGAUGUUAAUUUUUUAAUGACUCAUUCGGCGCCU
This 520-nucleotide ribosomal RNA is filed under the name uncultured Glomus. RNAcentral describes it as "SSU rRNA". It matches the Rfam family "Eukaryotic small subunit ribosomal RNA", at positions 569 to 1088 of the family's 1831-position model. Lineage: Eukaryota; Fungi; Glomeromycota; Glomeromycetes; Glomerales; Glomeraceae. The record is from RNAcentral.